This 141-nucleotide ribosomal RNA is filed under the name uncultured bacterium. Its description in RNAcentral is "partial 16S ribosomal RNA". It matches the Rfam family "Bacterial small subunit ribosomal RNA", at positions 373 to 507 of the family's 1533-position model. The record is from RNAcentral.
GGGCGCAGCCUGAUCCAGCCAUGCCGCGUGAGUGAAGAAGGCCUUCGGGUUGUAAAGCUCUUUCGGUGAGGACGAAACGGUUAGCGCUAAUAACCCUGACUAGUGACGGUACUCACAGAAGAAGCACCGGCUAACUACGUG